UACAGAGGUCCCGAGCGUUGUCCGGAUUUAUUGGGCGUAAAGGGUGCGUAGGUGGCCAAGUAAGUUGGGUGUGAAAUCCUGGGGCUUAACCUCAGAAUUGCAUUCAAUACUGCUUAGCUAGAGAGCUGUAGAGGAGACUGGAAUUUACGGUGUAGCAGUGAAAUGCGUAGAUAUCGUAAGGAACGCCAGUGGCGAAAGCGAGUCUCUGGGCAGCAUCUGACACUGAGGCACGAAGGCCAGGGGAGCAAACGGG
Molecule: ribosomal RNA, 253 nt
Filed under: uncultured bacterium
Lineage: Bacteria
Description: partial 16S ribosomal RNA
Rfam family: Bacterial small subunit ribosomal RNA
Source: RNAcentral